This 339-nucleotide ribosomal RNA is filed under the name uncultured bacterium. RNAcentral's name for it is "bacterial SSU rRNA". It matches the Rfam family "Bacterial small subunit ribosomal RNA", at positions 28 to 334 of the family's 1533-position model. The record is from RNAcentral.
GACGAACGCUGGCGGCAUGCCUAACACAUGCAAGUCGAACGGAGUUGUUAUUCAGAAGUUCUUCGGGAUGGAAGGAUAAGAACUUAGUGGCGGACGGGUGAGUAACGCGUGGGUAACCUGCCCUUUUGUGGGGAACAACUUCGAGAAAUCGGAGCUAAUACCGCAUAAUAAUAGAGGAUCGCAUGAUUCUUUAAGGAAAGAUGGCCUCUGAAGAUGCUAUCGCAAAAGGAUGGACCCGCGUCUGAUUAGCUAGUUGGAAGGGUAACGGCCUACCAAGGCAACGAUCAGUAGCCGGCCUGAGAGGGUGAACGGCCACAUUGGGACUGAGACACGGCCCAA